Molecule: long non-coding RNA, 160 nt
Organism: Ostrea edulis (European flat oyster)
Lineage: Eukaryota; Metazoa; Mollusca; Bivalvia; Ostreida; Ostreidae
Exons: 2
Source: RefSeq, a predicted model, not a curated record
AACUCCUACUAUUAUAAUAUAUGUCCAAGGUACAAUGUAAUCCUACCAGCUGUCAGAACAUAUCAGGUACUAGCUGACAUUGAUUGUCGUAGGUUGUGAGAAGUCGAAACCAUGUCACCAGGUGGAGGAGAUGAUGUAAACCUGAUGGACAUACCAAGAA